Molecule: ribosomal RNA, 156 nt
Filed under: Umbelopsis sp. KUC6006
Lineage: Eukaryota; Fungi; Mucoromycota; Umbelopsidomycetes; Umbelopsidales; Umbelopsidaceae
Description: 5.8S ribosomal RNA
Rfam family: 5.8S ribosomal RNA
About the family: 5.8S ribosomal RNA (5.8S rRNA) is a component of the large subunit of the eukaryotic ribosome. It is transcribed by RNA polymerase I as part of the 45S precursor that also contains 18S and 28S rRNA.
Source: RNAcentral
AACUUUCAACAACGGAUCUCUUGGUUCUCGCAUCGAUGAAGAACGCAGCGAAAUGCGAUACGUAAUGUGAAUUGCAGAAUUCAGUGAAUCAUGGAAUCUUUGAACCCCCAUUCCACUUAAUGGUAUUCGUUAGAGAAUCCUUGUUCCAGUUUCAUG